GCGCAGCGAAAGGUGCUUGCACCUUUCAAGCGAGUGGCGAACGGGUGAGUAACACGUGGAUAACCUGCCUCAAGGCUGGGGAUAACAUUUGGAAACAGAUGCUAAUACCGAAUAAAACUUAGUAUCGCAUGAUACAAAGUUGAAAGGCGCUACGGCGUCACCUAGAGAUGGGUCCGCGGUGCAUUAGUUAGUUGGUGGGGUAAAGGCCUACCAAGACAAUGAUGCAUAGCCGAGUUGAGAGACUGAUCGGCCACAUUGGGACUGAGACACGGCCCAAACUCCUACGGGAGGCUGCAGUAGGGAAUCUUCCACAAUGGGCGCAAGCCUGAUGGAGCAACGCCGCGUGUGUGAUGAAGGCUUUCGGGUCGUAAAGCACUGUUGUAUGGGAAGAAAUGCUAGAAUAGGGAAUGAUUCUAGUUCGACGGUACCAUACCAGAAAGGGACGGCUAAAUACGUGCCAGCAGCCGCGGUAAUACGUAUGUCCCGAGCGUUAUCCGGAUUUAUUGGGCGUAAAGCGAGCGCAGACGGUUGAUUAAGUCUGAUGUGAAAGCCCGGAGCUCAACUCCGGAAUGGCAUUGGAAACUGGUUAACUUGAGUGUUGUAGAGGUAAGUGGAACUCCAUGUGUAGCGGUGGAAUGCGUAGAUAUAUGGAAGAACACCAGUGGCGAAGGCGGCUUACUGGACAACAACUGACGUUGAGGCUCGAAAGUGUGGGUAGCAAACAGGAUUAGAUACCCUGGUAGUCCACACCGUAAACGAUGAAUACUAGGUGUUAGGAGGUUUCCGCCUCUUAGUGCCGAAGCUAACGCAUUAAGUAUUCCGCCUGGGGAGUACGACCGCA
This 841-nucleotide ribosomal RNA is filed under the name Leuconostoc lactis. Its description in RNAcentral is "bacterial SSU rRNA". It matches the Rfam family "Bacterial small subunit ribosomal RNA", at positions 64 to 890 of the family's 1533-position model. The record is from RNAcentral. Lineage: Bacteria; Bacillati; Bacillota; Bacilli; Lactobacillales; Lactobacillaceae.